RNAcentral lists this ribosomal RNA (253 nucleotides) under uncultured bacterium. Its description in RNAcentral is "partial 16S ribosomal RNA". It matches the Rfam family "Bacterial small subunit ribosomal RNA", at positions 524 to 776 of the family's 1533-position model. The record is from RNAcentral.
UACGGGGGGAGCAAGCGUUGUUCGGAUUUACUGGGCGUAAAGGGCGCGUAGGCGGCACUGCAAGUCAGUUGUGAAAUCUCCGGGCUUAACCCGGAAAGGUCAACUGAUACUGCAGGGCUAGAGUGCAGAAGGGGCAACUGGAAUUCUCGGUGUAGCGGUGAAAUGCGUAGAUAUCGAGAGGAACACCUGCGGCGAAGGCGGGUUGCUGGGCUGACACUGACGCUGAGGCGCGAAAGCCAGGCGAGCGAACGGG